AACAAAUUUUAACUCAUUUAAUCCUUGUAGUAACCAUGUAAAGCAAUACUAUUGUUAUUCUCGCUUUACAGAUAUGGAAGAGGUUGAAUAACUUGCUUCAGGUCACACAGGUAGUAAAUGGCAGAGGCAAGAUGUGAGCCCAGGAAGUAUGCCCUGCUACCACUGCGCAGUGGAGGCGUGUGCUGAACCUAAUCAACAAUCUGUCCAUUGUAGCUCUGCAUCCUGCCCUCUUCAUUUUGGACCAAGACUGAAGGAGCAGCCCCUGAGACAUGCCCUCUUGUGACAGAGGAAAAGAGUGAUGGCCGAAACCACACAAUGGCUCUAGCAUUUUUCCCCCAGAGCACACUCUUUUGCCCAAAGCAAGUCACAUGGUCUAACUUGAUGGCAAUCAGGUGGGGAAGUUUAAUCCCCCAAAUAGAGAGGGGCUGGUAGAAAGGACAGCAAAUGUUUUUGAGCAAGUAAUGUAAGUGUCCAAAAAUUACAAGUAAAAAUGUUAACGAUAAAAGCUCUGGGGACAAGAAGAGAGGGCUGCAAUGGAGAGUAACAAUGGAGAAUGAUUUAGACUGACGGUGGUGGUGUUGGCAGCUCUGGAAAGGCUUUUCUGAACAAGUAACAUCUCAGCUCAAACCCAAGAGAUAAAGAGAAGUUAUGCAAUACAAGGGUUGAGAGAAGAGUAAGAGAGGAACAGCAUGUGUAAAAGUCCUGAGGCAGAGAAGAGUUUGGCAUGCUUGAAAUGUUGGCAAGAGGCAGUACCAUGUAUUGGCCAAGAGUGGAGGCAUCCUGGAUUUCAAUCCUAGGUCUAUCCCUUACUAGCCAUGUCUAACUGACCUAUCUGUGUCUCAUUUUCCUCAUGUGUAAGUACUGGGUGUGCUUGGCUCAUGACAGUCAUUAUUACUAAUGGAAAGAAAACCCUGGUGGCUGCAGUGUGAUGACCAAAAAGUAAAAGAAAUGAGGCUGGAGGGUACCCACAUCUGUGGGGACCUGUACAUCUUGGAAAGAUUUGAAUCUUAGUCCUAGAAGGUACUUUAAACUAGGGAGUGACUUAGUUCAGUGUAUACUUUAUAUUUUCCUAUCAUAUUCUGGGGAGAUAUUCUCCACCUAAACAACUAUCUGUUGUUGGAACAUAAUGAAAUCCUAGUGAGACCCUGAUGGACAAAGGGAGGCAGGGGUGGGGUGGAGAGAGAAAUGAGCUUCAGACCAGGAAAGAAUUGAGAGAGGGAUGAGAGAUGGGAGAAGAGAGCUGUCC
Molecule: long non-coding RNA, 1246 nt
Filed under: Felis catus (domestic cat)
Lineage: Eukaryota; Metazoa; Chordata; Mammalia; Carnivora; Felidae
Description: lncRNA (ENSFCAG00000048953.1)
Source: RNAcentral